RNAcentral lists this ribosomal RNA (406 nucleotides) under uncultured bacterium. RNAcentral describes it as "partial 16S ribosomal RNA". It matches the Rfam family "Bacterial small subunit ribosomal RNA", at positions 30 to 526 of the family's 1533-position model. The record is from RNAcentral.
AUUGAACGCUGGCGGCAGGCCUAACACAUGCAAGUCGAACGAGUGGCGGAAGGGUGAGUAAUGUCGGGGAAACUGCCUGAUGGAGGGGGAUAAGUACUGGAAACGGUAGCUAAUACCGCAUACCAUCAGAUGUGCCCAGGUGGGAUUAGCUUGUUGGGGGGGUAACGGCUCAACACGGCGACGAUCCCUAACUGGUCUGAGAGGAUGACCUGCCACCAUGGAACUGAGACACGUGCCAGACUCCUACGGGAGGCAGCAGUGGGGAAUAUUGCACAAGGGGCGCAAGCCUGAUGCAGCCAUGCCGCGUGUAUGAAGAAGGCCUUCGGGUUGUAAAGUACUUUCAGCGGGGAGGCGUUACCCGCAGAAGAAGCACCGGCUAACUCCGUGCCAGCAGCCGCGGUAAUUC